GACGAACGCUGGCGGCGUACCUAAUACAUGCAAGUCGAACGAGAGCGACCGGUGCUUGCACUGGUCAAUCUAGUGGCGAACGGGUGAGUAACACGUGGGUAACCUGCCCAUCAGAGGGGGAUAACAUCCGGAAACGGAUGCUAAAACCGCAUAGGUCUUCGAACCGCAUGGUUUGAAGAGGAAAAGAGGCGCAAGCUUCUGCUGAUGGAUGGACCCGCGGUGCAUUAGCUAGUUGGUGAGGUAACGGCUCACCAAGGCCGUGAUGCAUAGCCGACCUGAGAGGGUGAUCGGCCACAUUGGGACUGAGACACGGCCCAAACUCCUACGGGAGGCAGCAGUAGGGAAUCUUCCGCAAUGGACGCAAGUCUGACGGAGCAACGCCGCGUGAGUGAAGAAGGUGUUCGGAUCGUAAAACUCUGUUGUUAGAGAAGAACAAGUGCUAGAGUAACUGUUAGCGCCUUGACGGUAUCUAACCAGAAAGCCACGGCUAACUACGUG
This 498-nucleotide ribosomal RNA is filed under the name uncultured bacterium. RNAcentral's name for it is "partial 16S ribosomal RNA". It matches the Rfam family "Bacterial small subunit ribosomal RNA", at positions 28 to 507 of the family's 1533-position model. The record is from RNAcentral.